GACGAACGCUGGCGGCGUGCUUAACACAUGCAAGUCGAACGGAAAUGCCCUGCUUGCAGGGUACUCGAGUGGCGAACGGGUGAGUAACACGUUGGUGAUCUGCCCUGCACUUCGGGAUAAGCCUGGGAAACUGGGUCUAAUACCGGAUAGGAGCCAUUUUUAGUUUGAUGGUUGGAAAGUUUUUUCGGUUUAGGAUGAGCUCGCGUCCUAUCAGCUUGUUGGUGGGGUUAUGGCCUACCAAGGCGGCGACGGGGAGCCGGCCUGAGAGGGUGGACGGCCACAGUGGGACUGAGAGACGGACCAGACUCCUACGGGAGGGAGCAGUGGGGAAUAUUGAACAAUGGGAGCAAGACUGAUGCAGAGACGGCGCGUGGGGGAUGACGGCCUUCGGGUUGUAAACUCCUUUCGCUAGGGACGAAGCUUUUUGUGACGGUACCUAGAUAAGAAGCACCGGCUAACUACGUG
Molecule: ribosomal RNA, 465 nt
Filed under: uncultured bacterium
Lineage: Bacteria
Description: partial 16S ribosomal RNA
Rfam family: Bacterial small subunit ribosomal RNA
Source: RNAcentral